This is a long non-coding RNA of Antechinus flavipes (yellow-footed antechinus), 2717 nucleotides long. RefSeq lists it as uncharacterized. The record is from RefSeq and is a predicted model, not a curated record. The transcript is spliced from 2 exons. NCBI's taxonomy places the organism in Eukaryota, Metazoa, Chordata, Mammalia, Dasyuromorphia, Dasyuridae.
ACAACCUCUCAGUGGCCCAAGACAACUUUUUAACAUGAUAAAUUAUAGAAAAAGUUGAUGGGAUUUGUUUCCACUUUGGAAGUUUCUGCUAUUGGUGAAAUCACAGACUCAGUCUAUCUACCCUCAGCAAAGUCUUCUGACAACUGAGAAGUGCCUGGUCCAUGAGAAGUAAUGUGAAUUCCACUGUCAAGUCCACGUUUGAUUGAAAAAGAGAGGGCCAAUCAAGUGAGCGGCCUAGGAUGAACCUCCAUAUGGUCCUAGAAUUGACUUUGCCAAAAAAAAAAAAAAAAAAAAAAAAAAUUCCUGAUCUCAACGUCCACCUUGGGAUCUGAGCUCUGCUCCUGACUUGACUAGAAGGACUGAGCAUCCCCAGUUUGGGAGUUAAUCCACCGGGUUCAUCAAAAUUCUGCCCUAAGACUGAACAGUCUAAUGGAUCCUGAGUGCUAAGUCUACUAACCUUGUAUCAUUUCAAGAAGUUGGAGGCUCCACCUCCUAGUCAGCAUCCAUUAGGAAGCCAGGGAUUAUUAAAGGGUAUUUUGCCAUUUGCCCAUCAUAAGACCAUUGCUCUCAAACCAGACUCUCUCUUCCCUUACCCAUACCCACUCAUUGCUACCAGCUUUGUCAUUUCCUGAGAUCAGAGACAUGAAAGGCUGAUGUAGGUUAAGGAAAACGAGAUGAUUGACUUCUCGAGAUUUCCUUCAAAAUGGAGACCGUCUAUGUGGAAAAAUCAACUGACAAAAAUGAUGUAAGUUCCUGCCCUCAAGGACCCUACAAGACUUCUCUUCCCUGUGUAGCUUCCCUUUGGACAUCGUCACAAGUCUCUGAUGUAAUUUGUACGUAACCUUUCCCAACUUUCAUCUGGAUGAUUUAAAAAAAAAAAAAAGGCUUCUUAAGAUGCUGACUUUCCUUUCCCCUGAGCCAAUCAACCUCCUGAGUCAGAAGACCUAAGUUGGAAUUCUUGCUCUGUCACUUACUGUGCACAUGACCUCAACCACUGAGUCUCAGUUUCCCCAUCUGUAAAUGAGAGAGUAGGAUGCAAUUAUCUUUGGGGCCCAUUCCAACUCUGUCUUUCACCUUUGCUUGGCAGAGUGGGGAGAAGGUUAGACUUGUUGGGAAGAGCUCCCCUUCUUCUUUGAAAAAGAACCUCAAAUUGUAUGCUUAAUACAUAUAGGCCAAGGCUGUGGCUAGGAGCCUGAAGACGAUUAGCUUGCCAAAUCGGCUUAUUUUAAUCCAUUUCCAAGCAGUCGGAGUUAAGUAUUUUGGAAUAGGCCUUUCUCAACAAGACCCAAAAUUCUGUGGUUUAGAAAAUAUUAGUGGAUCACAGAGCCACACAUUCAUUUCAAUUUAAUUUGAUUUGAUUAAUUAUCAUUUAUUGGGCCCUUGCUAAGUACAAUAAGUAGACAGAAGUAACUCUUCCUCUUAGAAAUUUUGGCUUCCCAUGGAUAUCAAAACCAAACUGAUUAAUCAAAUGACUUAAUAAAUGUAUGAACAUUUAUUAAGUACUGACUAUGUAUCAUCACCUGCUAAGGCUCAGUUACAAAUGGAAAGGUCAGAUAAAUCUUGAUCCCAAGGAGCUUUUCUUCUCAUGGAGGAAACCCUAGAUCUGAAAGGUUUUAGCUGCCAACAGGAUAAAAAGAUCCCGUGAUCUUCAGGGGGCUGCAGAAAAGCAGAGGAUCACUCUAUUUUAGAAUAUAAUUUCCACUGAUCAAAUCCCAUCAAUGUUGAAACAUUUGACAGUAUUGAGAUGACUGGAUCGGAUGCUCAAAUGUUAUCCCAUUUGAUCCUCUCAAUAACUCUGUGAAGUAGAUGCUGUUACUACCUCCAUUUUAUAGAAGAGGAAACUGAGGCUGACUAGUCCGGCCGUAGUGUCUAAGGCAAGGUUCAAAUACAGUCUUCCUGACUCCCGGUCACUCUGCUGAUUUUCCUUGCUUGGUUUGGAAUCAAAGAGUCUGCUAUAAACCCCUUAAUCUGGGGUUUUUCACCUGGGGCCAAUAAAUGGAAAAGCAUGGAUAACGAUUUCCCCUUACUUGGUUUUCUUUGUAAUCUGAUCUGUUUUAUUUUGAUGCCUUUGAAAACCCAAGUCUAAGAAGGCUUAAUGGCUGGGGCUGGACCCAAGGGCUUCUCCAGACUGGCUUGUAAUUCAACCAAGAUUAAGAGUUCUUCUCUUGGAAGCUAAGAUUGCACUAUCAUCUCCCAUCUUGAGGGUGCAGAGAACGGAGUGCUGGGCCUGGAGGCAAGAAGGCCCGAGUUUGAAUGCAGCAUCAGACACUGGCCAGGUGAGCCUGGGCAAGUCAUCCAUCUCUAUUUAUCUCAAUUUCCUCAUCUACAAAAUGGAGAUUCUAGGAGCACCUCACUCCCAAGGAGCUAGGUGGCAGAGUGGAGAUUAUAUUGGGCCUGGAAUCAGGAAGACUACUUUUCUUGAGUUCAAAUAUGACCUCAGACACUUACUAGAUGUAUGAACUUCAGCAAGUCAUUUAAUCUUGUUUGCCUCAGUUUCCUCAUUUGUAAAAUGAGCUGGGGAAGGAAAUGGUAAACCAUUCCUGUAUUUCUGCCAAGAAGACCCCAAAUGGGGUCACGGAGAAGUAGACGUGACUGAGUUAGGCAAGCAGCAAAACCCAAGGUUGUGAGGAUUUGGUGGGAAGAUAUUUGUAGGUCUCUUAGCACAAUGCCGGUCCAUAGUAAGUGCUAAAUAAAUAAAAAAAUUCUGACUUUCUGUA